GUUAAGUGAAACUGAAGCAAUGCUGCCCAAAACUGAUAUCAAGUUGACUGAAUAACAGUUAAAGAACGAUGGGUAUAAUCCCUAUAUUUGGAACCUGUCAUUCACAGAUCUGGCUGGAUCUCAGUGAUUUAUGGAUGUUUCAUGAUCAGUAUGUGGAAAGUGCCUCUAAAAUUAGGGUUACUACCCAAUUAUGUUGGAGAAAAAGGACUUUUUGUCAAACACAGCAUUGGCCAAGAAACAAAUUACUGUACAAAGAACAUCUUUGUUUUCUUUUCUUUUCUUUUUUAACUAUGUGCCCAUCUAAAAACACACAACUCCCACAUUCUUUGGUUAUUAUUAAAGUACAAUGAAACUUCUUUAAACUGAACCAAGUAAAAUGUCUUGUUUUAAGGGGUACCCAGUUUAGAGAGGUUAUUUUUUGUUCCGAUCUUUAAAAAUGGACAGUGAAAAACAUGUGGUUUAAAGAGAAUUUCAGUUUACAGAGGGUCUGGUUUUGAGCGGUUUCACUGUAUUAUUGCUCUUAUACUUCUGUACAAGUAUUAAAGGGACAAUCCAAAGUUUGUUGCUGUGCUUAGAAUAGAUAGAAGAUAAUUAAUCUACUCACAUCUGAUACAGCUGGAUAGUUUAAGCUAAAAUCUAGGUUUGAAAUAUAAAGCAUUAUGAUGUCAUUAUAGAGAUUUGGGAUUCCUUUUGACCCAGUUAUUUUUAAUUUUGUUUGGCACUUGCAGAUAUAUAUAUAUAUAUAUAUAUAUAUAUAUAUAUAUAUUGGUGGGAAUUUCUGCACACCUCAAAACUCAUAAAACAUCACACACACCCAUUUGAACUAACCGCACUACCCCUCAAACAGAUUAUUUUAACAAGUGCAAUUACCCUUCGCCCCACUUUCCUGAAUGUUUCAAAACUAGUCUACUUUUGUGAAAGGGAAAAUCCAGUAUGAAAUUAUAGUUGGCAAAAAUCCAUAAUGCUCUACAACAUACAUUAGGAUGUCUGAAAAUCGGGGAAUAUGCAAGUAUUUAAUAUUAAUAAUGUUAAAAGGAUUUAAAGGCCUAGGACUAAGAAUAUCUCUUCUUUUUUUUUUGGUAUGGGUGUUUGAAAAUACUUCAGUAUGAACAUUUUGACGGUUAUUAUUAUUUUCCCAGCACAUACAUCACAUAAUAAAUUUGUAUGGUAAAAACAAAGAAGCCGAUCAUGUGUUUACAAAACUGGUAUGUUACUUGUACAUGCAUGCAUUUUAAAUAAAUAAUAUUUAAGCUAGUUCAUUCAAAUGAGGGGAUGUUUUUUAAUGUAUGUUGUGAAGAAAGAUUGUCAAACUUAUUUUGUGUAUAUUGUGUGUUUUACCUGAAAAGGUAGGAUAGCCAUAUACAUAGGUGUCGGUAUCAAAAUUAUUGUCCAAUCCACGAAGCUACUUAAUGAAAGAUAUAUUAUAUGUAGUAUAAACAUCAUGCUCUCUUUAGUAACAAAAUAAAACCAUACAGUUCAAUAUGUUGCAAUAUAUCUGCAAAAUAAAAAUAAAAAAUUUGUCUAAAUUUUGGAUUUUUGGAUGUCCUAAUUUUAAAAAUAUGUAUAUAUUUUUGUACUUAUGUUAUAUAAAGUUUCACAAAACAAUGUCUUUUAUAUUGCACAUGUAUACCUGCAUGCUAUUUAUUCUAGUCUGAUGCAAAAAUCUUUUAUAAAUAUUGUCCCAAAGUCAUUAUCUUUCCGGUAACAAUUCUUACAAAAAAUAUUUCUCUCUAAGGAAUCCAUUUGAGUACCGUAGCACCUUUUUUUGAAGCUGCAAGACCACAAUUUUUUUAACAAGAAUUAAAGAAUAGCCAAAAAAAAGGAGAAGACAUUCAAGGGAAGGUUAUAAGGAAAGAUCGAUUUUGUUACAGUUGAAUUUUGCACCAAAGUGUUAACUUUUUAAUGUACUAUUGAUACUGGGCCUAUUUCUUCUGAAUACGUGAAAAUAAACAAGCUCAGUAUUUUGUCAGUAAAAAAACACUGCAACACAAGUGAUUCUUGUAUCAUUAAGUUCUGCAUCUAAAAAGCUGCAUGCAGUGGUCAAGAAUAAUUGUUCGUAAUUUGGUCAAAUUUGAUACUGACAUAUAAUUACAACUGAGAAGCAAAUAUAUUAAAUUUCCCAAUAAUUAUUUGGAUAUUAGUUAACAAGUUAGUUCAUUACAUUAUUUAUAUAUAUUGUGUAAUUUUGUAUGGUUUUCAAUUGGCAAUUUAUUGUUUUCAUUUAAUUUAUUCAUCGAUAUUAAUUACCAUUCCGUCCAAGCAGAAACUGUGAGAACUUGCAUUUUCAAUAAAUUUCAAUUUUUC
Long non-coding RNA from Gigantopelta aegis, 2304 nucleotides. RefSeq lists it as uncharacterized. The record is from RefSeq and is a predicted model, not a curated record. Lineage: Eukaryota; Metazoa; Mollusca; Gastropoda; Neomphalida; Peltospiridae. The transcript is spliced from 2 exons.